ACGUAGGGUGCAAGCGUUAAUCGGAAUUACUGGGCGUAAAGCGUGCGCAGGCGGUUCUGUAAGACAGAUGUGAAAUCCCCGGGCUCAACCUGGGAAUUGCAUUUGUGACUGCAGGACUAGAGUUCAUCAGAGGGGGGUGGAAUUCCAAGUGUAGCAGUGAAAUGCGUAGAUAUUUGGAAGAACACCAAUGGCGAAGGCAGCCCCCUGGGAUGCGACUGACGCUCAUGCACGAAAGCGUGGGGAGCAAACAG
This 251-nucleotide ribosomal RNA is filed under the name uncultured bacterium. Its description in RNAcentral is "partial 16S ribosomal RNA". It matches the Rfam family "Bacterial small subunit ribosomal RNA", at positions 525 to 775 of the family's 1533-position model. The record is from RNAcentral.